CCAGCAGCCGCGGUAAUUCCAGCUCCAAUAGCGUAUAUUAAAGUUGUUGCAGUUAAAAAGCUCGUAGUUGGAUUUCUGGCAGGAGCGACCGGUCUCACACUCUGUGUGAGAACUCGUGUUGUCUCUGGCCAUCCUUGGGGAGAUCCUGUUUGGCAUUAAGUUGUCGGGCAGGGGAUACCCAUCGUUUACUGUGAGAAAAUUAGAGUGUUUCAGGCAGGCUAGGCCGGAAUACAUUAGCAUGGAAUAAUGGAAUAGGACUACGGUCUCUUUGUUGGUUGAGGGGCUGCAGUAAUGAUUAAUAGGGAUAGUUGGGGGCAUUAGUACUUAACUGUCAGAGGUGAAAUUCUCGGAUUUGUUAAAGACUAACUUAUGCGAAAGCAUUUGCCAAGGAUGUUUUCAGUAAUCAAGAACGAAAGU
RNAcentral lists this ribosomal RNA (417 nucleotides) under uncultured eukaryote. RNAcentral describes it as "SSU rRNA". It matches the Rfam family "Eukaryotic small subunit ribosomal RNA", at positions 567 to 990 of the family's 1831-position model. The record is from RNAcentral.